GUCCUUUGUGUUCAAUCCCGGUGAAAGUUUGCCAGGAAGAGCAUUAGCAAAUGAAGAAACCAUCUGGUUGUGCAAUGCUCAAUAUGCAGAUAGUAAAGUAUUCUCUCUUUGCUUGCAAAGAGUGCAUCUAUUCAGACUGUGGUAUGUUUUCCCCACCUUGAGGGAGUAAUUGAGCUAGGUGUAGCUGAGCUGGUUGCAGAGGAUCCCAAUCUAAUUCAACACAUCAAGGCCUGUUUAUUAGAAUUCUCCAAGCCUGUUUGUGCUGAAAAAUCUUCUUCUGCUACUCAGAGUGCAGAUGAUGAUAAAGACCCAGCAUGCGCUCAACUUGACAAUGAAAAAGUAGAUGCAAUGGCAGUUCUGGAGGACCUGCAAAAUCCCACAGAAGAUAUCAUAUUUAACCAAGAGGGAAUUGAUGAAUUGCAUGGAAAUAUGCAUGAAGAAUUAAACAUGGACUCUUCUGAUGGUUCUUCAAAUGGCUGUGUGCAGAAUCACCGGACUGAAGACUUCUUGCUUGAACAUUUAAAUGGUGGGAUUUCUCGCAUUCAAAGUUGGCAUUUCACAGAUUAUGAAUUAAGCAAUGGUGUUCAAGAUUCUGCCAAUUCCAGUAAUCGUAAAUCUGAAGUUAUUGCGAGUGAUGAAAUCACUCUCUCUGGUCUCAAGGACCAAAAUGUAAGCCACCUUCAGUUGAAAGAACUUCAAGAAGGCAACCGCAGCAAAUUGAGUUCCUUUGAUCUUGGAGCCAGUGAUAACUUGCUCUACAAAAGAACUCUAUCUAUGGUCAUGAGAAGUUCAACCCAGUGGAUUGGAAAUUC
RNAcentral lists this unclassified non-coding RNA (812 nucleotides) under Hevea brasiliensis (rubber tree). The record is from RNAcentral. Lineage: Eukaryota; Viridiplantae; Streptophyta; Magnoliopsida; Malpighiales; Euphorbiaceae.